UUUGAAAACAAGAUGGCGGCCCGGCCGAGCCGGCGGUUGAUCGUUACAGGGGAUCAACGGAGUCAGCUGAUGGAAAGGUGUAAGCAUUGAUGAUCAUGGCGGCAGUGAUCGCUCAGCAAUCAUCAUCAUCGCCGCCGCAGUGAUGAGGACAACAAAACCCAGAAUGUGAUUACAGCGAAUGGGAGAGACGGAGGCGGCGGACGUUGGAAUUGGAAAAUAUGAAGAUCGUUUCCCUGCUUAAGUUCAAAUCUGGGCGGGAUUUGUGUCAAAAACACACAAACAUGAAGGAGUUUAUCUGGGAAUCAGAGCCUGGAGGAAAACCAAAGAGCUUUUUAUUUAUUUUCCCAAAGUGUUCCUGGCUCAACGUUUCUGUUUUCUGUGAGAAGCAAAAUCAUCCACGCUUGUUAAACUUGUAACACUUUAUGACAUUACAACUACAAAACCCAUGUCAGUGUGUCGUUUUGGGUUUUAAAGAAAUUCAUGAAUGUAAAUUUGAAGGAAGAUACAAAAUGUUUUGCAUAAGA
Poecilia latipinna (sailfin molly) is the source of this 524-nucleotide long non-coding RNA. RefSeq lists it as uncharacterized. NCBI's taxonomy places the organism in Eukaryota, Metazoa, Chordata, Actinopteri, Cyprinodontiformes, Poeciliidae. The transcript is spliced from 3 exons. The record is from RefSeq and is a predicted model, not a curated record.